Molecule: long non-coding RNA, 6062 nt
Organism: Gadus chalcogrammus (walleye pollock)
Lineage: Eukaryota; Metazoa; Chordata; Actinopteri; Gadiformes; Gadidae
Exons: 14
Source: RefSeq, a predicted model, not a curated record
CAGGUUAAAGACUUUUUGAAGUAAAGAGGAGCAUCUCAUCUGAACCUGAUGUCUAUCAAGGAUAUUUAACUGCAGUUCUGUGAGUAUCCCAACUUAACCAAGAAGAUGAACUGCAAACUGUAAGUCAUAAGUUUCUCAUUACUCUUGGGCACAUUGAUGUAUUUUGGCUUCCUGGUGAGUUAACCCCUUACCUGAAGGUUGAUCUGAGUAGUAAGGAUGUUUUAUUGGUUCAUGGGUUACUUAGGUGUUUGGUUUAUGUUGGUUUUAAUGAUUUGUUAAAAUGGUUACAGGCGCCAAGUUAUUGUUGUAAGCUGGAGUAAUGGGUUGGGUUCUGAUGUCUUCAGUCUUCUUUCCAGCUACUUUCCUGAGCUCUGCAUCUUCAUCACAUGAGUGUUGCUUUACUGAUGAGGGUGUGGUCUGAGUGAGUGGAGGUGCAUACUGGGAUACAGAGCUGUCUGAAUUCUACAGAUCUGUAGACACGCCCCCCCAGGGGAAACCGAGUGUUUGAGAAACCAUCGUGACGUCAGUUACAUGGACUAGAAUGUUCUUUAAGAUGGAGACAGGGAUUCAGAAGGAGAAACGCCAGGGGGAGAUGAGGGGGCUCCUCAUCUCAACAGCUAAAACACAACUUCAGUCUGACACAGAGAACCAUGGAACACAUUCAACAGUCCCCUCCAGUCAUCGUGACUCCUCAGGGACAGUUUCAUUUCCAAGAAGAUCUUAAUUGGGGCCAAUCCAAGAUGGAUCCUGCUCCUCAAGAGCCACCCCCCCCCCCCCCCUCCACUGGGUGGUCUGAACGGAUGACCUCCUUCCUGUCCUCAGGCUGACUAAAGCUGCACCGUUUGGAUCUGUGAAGGCCCCUCAUUCAGGAAACCACUGGACUACAAAGACGUGACUUCAGAGACGUUGAAUCAACCUGGGACACAUUUUGGAGACGCCAAGCAUAAUAAAUCACCAAUGUGGGACGCCACUGAAAAAUGUUGCACACAAUUUACUUCUCUGGAGACAUUGGUUGUUCUGUUCUGGGUGACCUGGCAGGAGAGCUGGGGUUGGAUGAUGGAACAUUAUUUGGCAUGAGGUUUUUACCCUGCAUGAUUGUUUGGCCUUUUAUGGCUCAGUUGUGUGUUUGGGUUUGACAUGAGAUGGAUGAUUUUUGAGCAUCGCUAUGGUUCUACUGUGUGUCUCCCACUCACACCUGGCAUGAGGUUCUACGUGCGUGUCCUGGGUUCUGUGUGUGUCCGGCUUGCUUUGACAGUGAUAAUGUUCAUACGGGGGUCUGUGUGAUUGGCUUGGGAUAUUGGAAUGGUCAACUAAAUCAUACCUGAUGGAAGGCCACACGUUUACUUAAGGGCCUCCAGUAGACAUGAAGAGCCCAGAGCGACGCUGCUGAGCGAUAUCAACACACUCGGCAGGAAGGAGGGUAUCCAACUCAAGUGUAAAAGGAUGCAAGCGGCGUGUUCAGAUCAGUGACUUCAAACUAGGACUACACCAAUCAGGAUCAAUGGAGGAUGGACACCUCAAGGAAUUCCAAAAGGAGUCUGAUGUUGGAAAGGGACCUAAAUGGGUAUUCAAGAUAACCUUCAGACCUGUAAUGAGAUGGCUCUUCCUACCUGGCUGGAUUGAUGGAGAGCCCUGUGGAUCUUGUCUUGCUCUCAGUUGCACGUCUUCUCAGGCUGAACAGUAUUUGUUUCGGACAGGACUAGCUGAACGAUUGGUUCCCUUAAAUCAGAACCAAUCUGGGAACGCCAACUGGUGCGCUCUUCGAGCUGAAGUUGUGCUCUUCGAGCUGAAGUUGUGCGCUUCAGCUGAGGAGGUAAGGAAACCUUCACUGGGGCUUCAAGGUGUAAAGAGGAGGAUGUUUCAAAGUGUUCCAUGGUACUCUGAUGAAGACCGUUGUUGUGUUCCACUGGCUGAGAAGAAGAACCCUCACAUCUUCCUCUUGGCCUUUCUCCUCUGAGAAUCCUGGCGCCAUCUUGAAGGAUAUUCCAGGUCAUGUAACUGAUGUCAUGACAGAUUCUCAAACACUUGGUUUCUCCUGAGGGGCGUGUCUAUAGAACUGAAGACUUCAGAAAGCACUGUAUCCCAGCAUGCAUCUCUGCUCACUCAGACCCCUCCGCAUGAGUAGGAUGCAACACUCUAGUGAUGGAGAUGUAGAGUUUUAUAAGUAACGAGGGAGAGGACAAAGGUGUUUAGAACAUAAUGGCAUGUCUAGUCUGUAAAUCUUUAAACCAUGAAGAUGGUUGGAUAGUUCAGGAAUUGGGCUUUUUACUAUGGGCGGUCCUUUCACUCAGAUGCCCACUUCUCACUGGACCUGUACAUGUGUUGGCUGGCUGGCAUGAUUUGCUGUUGGUGAUGAGGCGGUCAGGGUGACGUUGCAGGGCUAUGGUUGGCUCUCGGUGAGCUCAACGUUUAGAUUUGCUCUGUAUGGUUUGUACCCUGAAUAAUCUAGAUAAUUGUAAAAUGUAGACACGGAAUUGUAUUGAAUAAUUUUAGGUUUAAAGUUGUUGUGGGACGUACAUGGUAGUUUGGUUCCUUUUACGGUUUUGAGUGAUAUAACUUGUACACACUGGGUGCAUAAUAAUGUAAAGGUACACUGAAUAUUAGUAUUGACCAACAGCAACAAACUGAUCUCCUCAAGGUAAGUCUGUUGGCUGUAUUUCAAGACCAUCGCUGGACUUCAGGAUCUUCCUCCGUUCAGCUCAAGGUGAGGCGCUGGUUCUGUUUUUUCUUUGGUUGGUUCCGGCCGGAAUGUUCGGAUUCCAGUCGGACGGUUUGUGCUUCCCGCCGUGGAAGGUUCUGAGUACGGUCACUUGAUUUAGUCCCAAUGGUUAGCAUAGAACGUUGUAGUCUUGACAACCAUAAGAAACCACCUGGCAGUUAGUUGGACGGAAGUCCCCUGAGGUAAUCUGGCAGAACGUUCUGGAUUGUAUUUGCGUAACCUCGAGCCGUUGCCAACGGAAAUAGUUUUUCAGUCGUUUGCAUUGGGAAUUGUUGCCCCUUAUCUUAAACAACUCAAGUUUGAUAUUAAAUACAUACCGACACGUACGUCGUACAAUAUGUUGAUAAUUUCCGAUGGUUGCGGCGUACUUUUAACCGAUGACGUGACGGGACUUUCGCUGCGUACAAAACGGCGUUCUACUUGCGGGCCAAUUUUUGACAUCAGUGACGGCUGAAAAUCAUUUCAAGAUGGCAUUUCAACGGAACCCAGCACCUGAAUAUGGCUGAGUAUAUUUGAUUUAAUAUCGAUACGGCUUAGUGUUCUUUGUUACUUCAGCUUUUGUACGUUCUAAAUAUCUGCUGUCAUUAAUAGCCACAGAAGUUAAACCCUACCAAAUGGAAUGAUGUUAAACAACGACUUUGGUGCAGAGUUACCAACUGGAUAAUAUCAAAGCUAAAAUAAUGGCCGUCCUUCCCACAUGUUACAGUAGAAGAUACUCUAGAACUGUACAAGGUUAAAAAGGUAACGUGUAGUUUGUCCCAAGGUGUCUGCCUCCUCACCCAGAGCAAGACAUCCACCUCCUCACCCAGAGCCAGACCUCCACCUCCUGAAAGUCCUCCAGAACAGCUGUAGCUGAAAGGUGAGGCUGGGACCAGAGGCUUGUUGUACCAGGAUGGACCAGUGACUGAGGCUGGAGACCAGGGGCCUGCAGCACCGGACCAGAGGGUAACCAUCACCAAGCUCAUCUGAAACACUAAAAUCCACGACCAGGAAUCUAUUUCUGGGGGAGCCGUGCUGAAGGAGCUGGUGGAGGAGUCGUGCUGAGGGCCUGCCUGCUGGAGGAGCUGGUGGAGGAGUCGUGCUGAAGGCCCUGCCUACUGGAGGAGCUGUUGGAGGCCCUGCCUGGUGAAGGACGUCUGUCGUGGGACCAGGAAUCUGUCGGAGGAGAGCUGCUGGAUUCCUCAACAUGUUUCUGGAGCGGAGGCGAGCUGGUAGGGGAGCCGUGAAUCUGGAGGAUGACCAUCACUCUACCAACAAGGAUUACGUUAGGGCAAGACUCGGCUGUUUGUUCCAGACCAGGACUCGGGCUGUGGUGAGCUGAUUGAGGAGCCAAGACUCUGGAGGACGACAUCACUCUACCAACCAGGAUCCUCACCAGGAAUCUGGAGGACUGAUGGAGAAGCCGUACAUCUGGAAGGCAAAUCCUGAGGACGACCAGGACUCUACCAUCAAGGAUUUCUCGUCAGUUUGCAUUAUCUGGACAUAGUGGACUAGACACGCCUGAGCUGAACCUCACCUGAUCCUGUUUGGCCGGGGGUAGACACACCUGAGCUGAACCCGCCCUGAUCCUGACAUCCUGCUGGUCCCGUCUCCUCAGUUCAUCUGCGCCUCGUCCUCCAGAAGACCUGCUGAGCUCAGCAGUCUGAGGCUGAUGGAUCAAUGACCUCCAGUGGGAGUGAUCUCCUUGACCCCACAUGUAACCGUGUGCUUCCACACGCCUUUCCCUCACGUCUGUCACUAACCUCACUACUUCACUACUCUCUACUGCUUCCUCUUCUUCCUUCUCUGUUGUUCGAACCUUUACACUGAAGGCGUGUCUUCCUGCCCUCAGAGGGUUCAGCGUUAGGGUUUAGAGUCAGGGUUUAGAGUCAGGGACAGAGCUGGUCAGGGAGGACUGCUUUUACACAAACCUCUUCACUCCCUUUCGGAAUGGUGGUGACAUUUUGAAAAGAUUCAUUUGGGAUAAUGUUUUCCUCUGCUUUCCUUUACAAAAUUGUAUUAAACUUCUGUCAACCAACUGUUUGUAACCAGACCAGGAAUCUAUUUCUGGGGGAGCCGUGCUGGAGGAGCCGUGCUGAAGGAGCCGGUGGAGGAGUCGUGCUGGAGGAGUCGUGCUGGAGGAGUCGUGCUGGAGGAGUCGUGCUGGAGGAGUCGUGCUGGAGGAGUCGUGCUGGAGGAGCCGUGCUGGAGGAGCCGUGCUGGAGGAGCCGUGCUGGAGGAGCCGUGCUGGAGGAGUCGUGCUGGAGGAGUCGUGCUGGAGGAGUCGUGCUGGAGGAGUCGUGCUGGAGGAGUCGUGCUGGAGGCCCUGCCUGGUGAAGGACGUCUGUCGUGGGAACAGGAAUCUGUCGGAGGAGAGCUGCUGGAUUCCUCAACGUGUUUCUGGAGUGGAGGCGUGCUGGUAGGGGAGCUGGUAGGGGAGCUGGUAGGGGAGCUGUGAAUCUGGAGGAUGACCAUCACUCUACCAACAAGGAUUACGUUGGGGCCAGACUCGCACUGUUUGUUCCAGACCAGGACUCUGGCUAAGGUGAGCUGAUGGAGGAGCCAAGACUCUGGAGGACGACAUCACUCUACCAACCAGGAUCCUCACCAGGAUUCUGGAGGACUGAUGGAGAAGCCGUACAUCUGGAAGGCAAAUCCUGAGGACAACCAGGACUCUACCAUCAAGGAUUCCUCCCUGAGCUGAACCUCACCUGAUCCUGUUUGGUCGGGGGUAGACACACCUGAGCUGAACCCGCCCUGAUCCUGACAUCCUGCUGGUCCCGUCUCCUCAGAUUAUCUGCGCCUCGUCCUCCAGAAGACCUGCUGAGCUCAGCAGUCUGAGGCUGAUGGAUCAAUGACCUCCAGUGGGAGUGAUCUCCUUGACCCCACAUGUAACCGUGUGCUUCCACACGCCUUUCCCUCACGUCUGUCACUAACCUCACUCCUUCACUACCCUCUAUUGCUUCCUCUUCUUUCUCUGUUGUUCGAACCUUUACACUGAAGACGCGUCUUCCUGCCCUCAGAGGGUUCAGCGUUAGGGUUGAGAGUCAGGGUUUAGAGUCAGGGACAGAGCUGGUCAGGGAGGACUGCUUUUACACAAACCUCUUCACUUCCUUUCGGAAUGGUGGUGACAUUUUGAAAAGAUUCAUUUGGGAAAAUGUUUUCCUCUGCUUUCCUGUACAAAAUUGUAUUCAACUUCUGUCAAGUGUUGUUAUAUUAAAAUCCCACAUUGACUUCUACAUGUUUGGUGCGGUUCAUUUAAUUGUCCUUUAACUUGGUAAAUGUCAAGCUAAACUCCUUCAAUACAUUUAAUAUACAUUGUUAUUCAGCAAUUUUCACAUAAUCCAUUUUGUAAAAACAUUAA